Molecule: ribosomal RNA, 396 nt
Filed under: uncultured bacterium
Lineage: Bacteria
Description: partial 16S ribosomal RNA
Rfam family: Bacterial small subunit ribosomal RNA
Source: RNAcentral
AUACGUAGGUGACAAGCGUUAUCCGGAUUUACUGGGCGUAAAGGGCGUGUAGGCGGUCUUGCAAGUCAGAAGUGAAAUUCCUGAGCUCAACUCGGGCGCUGCUUCUGAAACUGCAGGACUUGAGUGCUGGAGGGGAUAGCGGAAUUCCUAGUGGAGCGGUAAAAUGCGCAGAUAUUAGGAAGAACACCGGUGGCGAAGGCGGCUAUCUGGACAGUAACUGACGCUGAGGCGCGAAAGCGUGGGGAGCAAACAGGAUUAGAUACCCUGGUAGUCACGCCGUAAACGAUGAAUACUAGGUGUAGGGGGUAUCGACUCCCUCUGUGCCGCAGUUAACACAAUAAGUAUUCCACCUGGGGAGUACGGCCGCAAGGUUGAAACUCAAAUGAAUUGGCGGGG